Long non-coding RNA from Lolium perenne, 1710 nucleotides. RefSeq lists it as uncharacterized. The record is from RefSeq and is a predicted model, not a curated record. NCBI's taxonomy places the organism in Eukaryota, Viridiplantae, Streptophyta, Magnoliopsida, Poales, Poaceae.
GUGUGUCUAGAAAUUAGGGGUGGGUGAUUAUUGCUGUGCUGUUGUGGAACUCCUUUCGGACUGGGUGUGCAUAGCAAAUUUCAUAUUUCUGGUUCAUUAACUUGUUGUGGUGGGCUCCAUCUACAUGUCCAGGAUUUGUCUCCAUGCGACACGUUGGUUACUCUGCCCCGCACGCUUCCUCCCACCGCUCAGACUAAUCUCAUUAUCCCUUCUCCUCUCUCUAAAUCACCAUGGGACCAGGUCAAUUUUUUUUAUCACGGGACACGGGAGAGCAAUGGGGAGGAGGCGUAUCCCGGGAGGCUCCGUCUGGUCGCCGCCGGGGAGGAACUCCGAUAGGACACCGUCGACUCCACCACGCCAUCGCUGAGGAGCUCGAGGAGGAGGCGCGGCGCGGGGAAGGCUACACAUGGCCACCGUCGACUCCACCACGCUGUGAAAAGCAGCUACGAUGGAGCCCGACCGCCUCGCCAUGUGCCCCAUGUUGGGAUUUCUUUCCAUCUCCUCCCCCCUGAACUCCCCUGAUGUGGCGGUUGAUUGGAGGCGGGAAACGCCGGGAGCCCUCGCCGACGUCUUCCUUGCUGGCAUUGCGGUGGCCACGGCAGGUGGCAUGCGAUCUCCAGGUCCGGGAUGCAGUAGAGGUCGGUCAGGCCGACACCAACUCGCCAUGGCACAAGGCGAAGGUAACCGUGCCAGCGGCGCCUUGCUCCGAGCCGACCGCUGAAGCCAGUGGAGGACCGACAGUGCUGGUUCUCCUAUUGCCGGCAAGAUCACAAACCUUCCAUCUCAAUCAGGUGAAGAAUCAUCUCCUCCUCAUCAAGAUUUAAUUUGUUAUCUCUUCAUGCAAUGAUGUGCUCGACAACCAUAUUCUUUAUGUUCAGGCCAUGGGCUGGAAUAGGUCAUGGUUUGUGGCAGGCAGCCUACAUCGAGCAUCAACGAAUUGCAACUUUGGCAUUUGUUUUAAUUCCCAGAUGAAGAUCCGUGCCCCUUCAUCAAGAUUCAGUUUAUUUUUGUUUGUUUCGUCCAUUAGUAGCACGAACCAACCUAGCAGGGCAAACAACUUUUUGGCUGGACAGAUACCUCCCUUUCUACUUCCCCGUCAAACCAUUGAUUCAUCAUAGUUGAUCCUUGCUUAGCUUCGUGCCGCUGUUGCUGAUCCAAUCAAUGUCAGGGAGCCGGUUCCUCUUCGAGCAGUGGAGAGAUUUCAUGCUCGAUGAGAGUUGUCGCAAAUUGAAUCAAGCGUACUCUCUUCAAACUCAACGAGCUCACUGUAUGUUCUUUGCAUGCUAGCAGUUUUCACCUCAUGAUUUUUCUUGCCUUCAUUAAGUAACAUGGAGUUGUUUAUGAAAUUAAACAUGACCUCUUCCUUGCUGUACUUUUUUCUGUAGUGGAUGAACCACUAAUUCGUGCUUCUCUAUAUGUUUUAGAUUCGGACCCUAAGAGAAAUUCUCAUACUUCUGUCUAAUUCUAGGACAUCUUCACACUUGUGGAUUCUGAUACGUCCAGGUUAGAAGACAGAUAUGCUUCAGUACCGAUGUUGAUCUACAAGUAAUUAGUUCUUUCAACAACAAAUGCAAUUGCUGACAUGGUAAAACAGGGACAUGCACUGGAACAUUGUAAAGAGGUCUCAUUGCUUCAGAUUUUCUUUCUUGGUAUCCUGUAAUUGGGGGCCACUUCUCAAUUAUUUUAUUAACAAAUUAAUUAGUAUGUGAA